GCACAGGUGCAGCACACACAGUUAUCCAGGGCCCCUAGAAAGGUCUAAGGCUGGAGCCAAUUGCAGCCCUAACCAAGAUCUCCCUGAGUGGGGAGCUGUGUACCCAGACAGCAGGACUCCAUUUGUGGACAGAUUGAGCAGGAGACACCCCAAGUGGGCAGAUGUAUCUCUCACCAGAGCUUGGAACAGACUCCUCGUCACUCAGUAAAUGGUUACCCUUCUUGCCAGGAGAAGUGC
This 237-nucleotide long non-coding RNA is filed under the name Mus spicilegus (steppe mouse). RNAcentral's name for it is "Nuclear RNase P (ENSMSIG00000026155.1)". The stretch from base 40 to 237 matches the Rfam family "Nuclear RNase P", at positions 68 to 244 of the family's 301-position model. From Rfam's summary of the family: Ribonuclease P (RNase P) is a ubiquitous endoribonuclease, found in archaea, bacteria and eukarya as well as chloroplasts and mitochondria. Lineage: Eukaryota; Metazoa; Chordata; Mammalia; Rodentia; Muridae. The record is from Rfam by way of RNAcentral.